CUGUUUCUUUUUUUUAUUUCCUCACAUGGGACAAUGCUCUAAUAAUGAUGAUCAUCACACUUUUAUUUACUCACAGCUCAAUGCUUAGAAUAAUGAUGACUCUAUAGGAAAUGCCUCCGACAGUGUACCGGGAUGUGCAACGAUCUAGCUUAGCGUAUGACUCGCUAGCUAUCUUAUGAUCAUGCAAUGGAAAUAUGAAAGUGAC
This 205-nucleotide long non-coding RNA is filed under the name Hordeum vulgare. Its description in RNAcentral is "long non-coding RNA (HVUL_LNC015454)". The record is from RNAcentral. Lineage: Eukaryota; Viridiplantae; Streptophyta; Magnoliopsida; Poales; Poaceae.